GGUUGUAGUGAGCUGAGAUUGUACCACUGCACUCCAGCCUGGGCAACAGUGCCAGACCCUGUCUCAAAGGUGGGGGAGAUUUUGACAUGGAGACACAGAUAUGCAUACACGGAUGUGUUGAUGAAGGCAGAGAUUGGGGUGAUGCGGCAGAAGCCAAGGAGCACUGGAUUGCCAGCAAACCAGCAGGAGGUGGGAGAGAGGCAUGGAACAGAUUCUUCCUCACAAGCUUCAGAGGGAACCAACCCUACAGACACCUUGGUCUUGGACUUCUAGCCUCCAGAACUAAUGAAGAGGUGAAGCUCAGAGAAGCCUAAUGCCACGUGGCUGAAACUUUGGAAGAAUCAAACUCAGGCUUGUGACAGCUAAAACACACUUACCACGUCUUUUAAAUGUAAAAACAGAGAGUGAGAAGGAAGAGGAGGGAGGAAAGGACGGAGAACAUUUCUUCACAAUCACCGUGAUGGAGGAAUCACACAUCAUCAGCCACAAGUCUGCAGGUGAUCCAUCUAAACUGUGAAGCAGAAUCAGCAUCAGAGUUGGAAGUGACUCUACUCAUUGACCCCCAAAAUAUCAAGUGCCUACUCUGUGUCAGGUUUGUUAGCAGAGCUGUCCCAUAAUAACUCUGGGAGCCCGCUCUGCAACAUCUGGGCACUGAGCUAGCUGGGACUGGGAGCUUCCCCUUCUCCCUGUGGGAGGGACUACACUCAAGCUCCACUUCCCAGGGGCUGGGGGCUUCUACUGUCCAUUGAGGUGGGUGGUUUACAGCUUCUCAUGGGCCUUAGGGCUCUCCGGUGCCAGGCAGAAGGCUUUCCUAGACCACUCCUGUAAGCAGCUGGCAUCCCAGAUCCAGCCUGCCUGUGCCUUUCUAUGGCCCUUCAUUACUGUUUGCUCUCUCAUUUUUCCUGUAGAGGGAGGAUAAGCAAGGGGGAUGUGGUCCCUCCACCGGAAUGCAGGCUCAGAGUAUGCCCAAGCCCCAGCACCCCUGAUGAGAUAAUGAGGAACCCAUGUCUAUCUUAUCUUACUGACCAUCGGCCCAUGUAAGUCUAUUCCUUAACCUCUGCAGCAUUGUAGAAUUUGUCCCAAAUCCUAAUACAGUGGUCCUCAAGAUUCAAAGUGCACCAGAAUCACAUGCAGGGCUUGAUAAAAUACAGGUUGAGCCGGACACGGUGGCUCACGCCUGUAAUCCCAGCACUUUGGGAGA
This 1201-nucleotide long non-coding RNA is filed under the name Homo sapiens (human). RNAcentral describes it as "HSALNT0297988". Lineage: Eukaryota; Metazoa; Chordata; Mammalia; Primates; Hominidae. The record is from RNAcentral.